RNAcentral lists this ribosomal RNA (468 nucleotides) under uncultured bacterium. RNAcentral describes it as "partial 16S ribosomal RNA". It matches the Rfam family "Bacterial small subunit ribosomal RNA", at positions 28 to 507 of the family's 1533-position model. The record is from RNAcentral.
GACGAACGCUGGCGGCGUGCUUAACACAUGCAAGUCGAACGGAAAGGCCCUGCUUUUGUGGGGUGCUCGAGUGGCGAACGGGUGAGUAACACGUGAGUAACCUGCCCUUGACUUUGGGAUAACUUCAGGAAACUGGGGCUAAUACCGGAUAGGAGCUCCUGCUGCAUGGUGGGGGUUGGAAAGUUUCGGCGGUUGGGGAUGGACUCGCGGCUUAUCAGCUUGUUGGUGGGGUAGUGGCUUACCAAGGCUUUGACGGGUAGCCGGCCUGAGAGGGUGACCGGGCACAUUGGGACUGAGAUACGGAGCAGAGUGGUACGGGAGGCAGCAGUGGGGAAUAUUGUACAAUGGGCGGACGCCUGAUGCAGCGGCGCCGCGUGCGGGAUGACGGUCUUCGGGUAGUAAACAGCUUUAGCCUGUGACGACGCGGGAGUGACGGUAAUGGGAAAAGAAGCACCGGCUAACUACGUG